CGCGGCCUAUCAGCUUGUUGGUGGGGUAACGGCCUACCAAGGCCUCGACGGGUAGCUGGCCUGAGAGGACGAUCAGCCACACUGGGACUGAGACACGGCCCAGACUCCUACGGGAGGCAGCAGUGGGGAAUAUUGCGCAAUGGGCGAAAGCCUGACGCAGCAACGCCGCGUGGGGGAUGAAGGCUUUCGGGUUGUAAACCCCUUUCAGUGAUGACGAAAAUGACGGUAAUCACAGAAGAAGCCCCGGCCAACUACGUGCCAGCAGCCGCGGUAACACGUAGGGGGCGAGCGUUGUCCGGAUUUAUUGGGCGUAAAGAGCUCGUAGGCGGUUGCGUAAGUCGGACGUGAAAACUCAGGGCUCAACCCUGAGAUGCCGUUCGAUACUGCGCUGACUAGAGUCCGGUAGGGGAGCAUGGAAUUCCUGGUGUAGCGGUGAAAUGCGCAGAUAUCAGGAGGAACACCAGUGGCGAAGGCGGUGCUCUGGGCCGGAACUGACGCUGAGGAGCGAAAGCAUGGGUAGCAAACAGGAUUAGAUACCCUGGUAGUCCAUGCCGUAAACGUUGGGCACUAGGUGUGGGACCUACUUAACGGGUUCCGUGCCGUAGCUAACGCAUUAAGUGCCCCGCCUGGGGAGUACGG
This 639-nucleotide ribosomal RNA is filed under the name uncultured Actinomycetes bacterium. RNAcentral describes it as "bacterial SSU rRNA". It matches the Rfam family "Bacterial small subunit ribosomal RNA", at positions 232 to 885 of the family's 1533-position model. Lineage: Bacteria; Bacillati; Actinomycetota; Actinomycetes. The record is from RNAcentral.